Molecule: ribosomal RNA, 353 nt
Filed under: uncultured Thauera sp.
Lineage: Bacteria; Pseudomonadati; Pseudomonadota; Betaproteobacteria; Rhodocyclales; Zoogloeaceae
Description: bacterial SSU rRNA
Rfam family: Bacterial small subunit ribosomal RNA
Source: RNAcentral
AGAACACAGGUGCGUGCAUGGCUGUCGGUCAGCUCGUGUCGUGAGAUGUUGGGUUAAGUCCCGCAACGAGCGCAACCCUUGUCACUAGUUGCCAUCAUUGGUUGGGCACUCUAGUGAGACUGCCGGUGACAAACCGGAGGAAGGUGGGGAUGACGUCAAGUCCUCAUGGCCCUUAUGGGUAGGGCUUCACACGUCAUACAAUGGUCGGUACAGAGGGUUGCCAAGCCGCGAGGUGGAGCCAAUCCCUUAAAGCCGAUCGUAGUCCGGAUCGUAGUCUGCAACUCGACUACGUGAAGUCGGAAUCGCUAGUAAUCGCAGAUCAGCAUGCUGCGGUGAAUACGUUCCCGGGUCCU